UCAGCAAUGUGACCGCCUUCUUGACUUAUUAUAGAGUUAUAGAUGUAAUCUAUUGGUGUAGCAGAAACUAUGUAAGAAUUCACUGCAUCGUUUUCCUCUUGGAGAAUUUCCAUCUUUUCAAAUACUGACGCUUGCACCACGACAGUAUAACCCUUCUCGCUAUGUCGUUCCACGAGUUUGUCCAACUGAUCUAUAUCAUAGAUUCGACCAUUCACUAAAAUUGCCAAACGAUUUGACACGGGUAAAAGAGUCUCCACACUGAAACAAUCACGAUGAAUUUUAACAAAUAUGAGAACAAACGAAGCAGAAUACUUUAAUACUUUGGACUGACUCCAGAUCUGCUUAAAUGAUUAUGUAAACAGCUUCGUCCACUAUUGUGAGGCUUUCAAAAAGAUCUUCAUUAUCGAACGAGGGGUGUUUUCGCGAUAAAAGGAAUUCCCUAAUUUUUAUGUCAUUGACCACACCCCAUUUUUUUCCACUUGACUGUUGCCAUAAGCUUUUAUUGGCUUUGAAGCUCGAUUGGUCUUAAUAAAAAUUUUACCUUAAAAAUUCGGCCCUGAAGUGCGCGGGGUAGGGCGAGGGUUACAUGCAACUAAGAGGCUAAGCAAAAUAUAAGUCGACAUUGAAGGUGGGGGGUGUUGCAUUACGGUAUGUGACAAUGCUGGAGAUGCGUACCUACAUAUAUGAAAUAAGAUUUUUUCUUCGCCGGUGAAUGAAUUUUGUGUGUGUACUCAAUAUGCCUCUACAGGGAAAACACAUCCGUAUUGUCCGUUAUUAUCUUUAGGACAUGUCUGUCUCGGAAAGUACCAAAUAGAUGGUAGUUAAAGGCCAUCAUGCGAUACGAAGGGUUUAAAGUUACCUGCUCGAGGAUAUGAUAAUAGAAUGCCCCCGUUGUCGCAGGUUAUUUAAUAUAUGGUACAUCGCUCGUCUUACGGAGUACUUUUGGUACUCUGUACUCUCCUCCAGUAUCACAACUUCAGGGGCACCGAUUACGGCCGCCGCGAAGUGCAAACGCGCCACGUCUUUAGCUUUUAAAUAGCAAAUUUGUCUGUCGGCUUGGUGGUAAAGUUCUGUUGAAAGUAUUAACAUACCUUAUUAAAUAGGAAACAGGGUUUUCAAAUUGCAAUGACGCAGAUAAGAUUAUUUUGCAACUCACGUUACGUAAAAAAAUAUUAUCAAUAGAAAUCCUAUUAGAAGAAAAUAAUCGUCUAAAUAAAAAGAAUACUUAUAUCUAACUCAAACAGGUCUUAAUGAGAUCUAAGACUUUCGCGAGUCUUUUAAAUAAAACUAAUACCUUUUCGUAAUUACUAUGCGAAUUUUUACGGUUUUUACGGUUACUUUUCAGCAACCGUGAUCACAGUUUCUGAAAAGUAACCGUAAAAGGUCACGUAACGUCCGGAUUAUGUGUUUAAAAUAAUACAAAUUUGCGUAGGAAAUCCGAAGAGGUAUUAGUUUUAUUCAAACUUAAUAGAUUUUAAAAUUUUCAAGAUAUUUUUUUUUAAAGAUUUACUUCAAUUCAACAAUCAUCCUUACAUAUGCGUUAAUACACAAAGUAUUGUAAGACUUGACGCUUAGGUAAAUUGAAUUUCACUGAAAUAAUACGUUUGUUGCAAUGAUUGUAUCGGGACAUUUGGUAGGUAGAUGAUACCCAUAGCGUUGACGUAAUCCAUGACCAGAUCCAAAGCCUGGCUUCGUGGGACGCCGCGCAGUACGGCGAGCAUCUCGAGACCGUUCCUCACACUCAUCCAGCCCGGAAGAGGAUUAUGUUCGCAGCUCAAUGACGUCUGCUGACUGAACUGGGUUGUGCAAAUAACAGAAGUAUUAUUCAUCAAUGAAGUAAUACAAAUUACAAUCAGAAUGGCUCGGAUAUAUCUUCAUAAAUAUAAAAGUUUUGAUAACUGUAAAGUAUUGAAAAUGGUCUAAAACUUAGACGUUUUGAUAAAUAUUCAAAUUUUAUUUACUAAAUGAGGAUUUCGAAGAAGAGUCCAUUUUGAUAAGCACCAUAACUGUCCGUCUGUCGGUAAUUGGAACCCUGCAAAAUAUCAAUAUUAAAACUUGCAAUUAUUCUUAAUUUUACUUUAAGUUAUUCUUAAUUUAAAUUAAUACUAAUGAUCUACACCCACCAGCCAAUAUUUCACACAGCCGCAGUCUUCCAUGUUCCAAGACACCCGAAAUAGCCAACACCUCACCUUUGCUCAAACUGAGAUACACAUUUCGGAUUAUAGAUUUCUCGUAGUGUCGUUGGGAUAUAUUAUGUGCAAGUAAAUAUGUUUCAACUUGUUUCUUAUUUUUGGCUGAAACAAAUUAAGUAUUAAGUGUUUGAAAUAAUUGAACAGAAACAAAUCUAAAGUAAAUGACUUACGAAUUUUCUUUUUCAA
This is a long non-coding RNA of Danaus plexippus (monarch butterfly), 2378 nucleotides long. RefSeq lists it as uncharacterized. Lineage: Eukaryota; Metazoa; Arthropoda; Insecta; Lepidoptera; Nymphalidae. The record is from RefSeq and is a predicted model, not a curated record. The transcript is spliced from 2 exons.